Molecule: ribosomal RNA, 829 nt
Filed under: Escherichia coli
Lineage: Bacteria; Pseudomonadati; Pseudomonadota; Gammaproteobacteria; Enterobacterales; Enterobacteriaceae
Description: partial 23S ribosomal RNA
Rfam family: Bacterial large subunit ribosomal RNA
Source: RNAcentral
GUGAGCUCGAUGAGUAGGGCGGGACACGUGGUAUCCUGUCUGAAUAUGGGGGGACCAUCCUCCAAGGCUAAAUACUCCUGACUGACCGAUAGUGAACCAGUACCGUGAGGGAAAGGCGAAAAGAACCCCGGCGAGGGGAGUGAAAAAGAACCUGAAACCGUGUACGUACAAGCAGUGGGAGCCUCUUUAUGGGGUGACUGCGUACCUUUUGUAUAAUGGGUCAGCGACUUAUAUUCUGUAGCAAGGUUAACCGAAUAGGGGAGCCGAAGGGAAACCGAGUCUUAACUGGGCGUUAAGUUGCAGGGUAUAGACCCGAAACCCGGUGAUCUAGCCAUGGGCAGGUUGAAGGUUGGGUAACACUAACUGGAGGACCGAACCGACUAAUGUUGAAAAAUUAGCGGAUGACUUGUGGCUGGGGGUGAAAGGCCAAUCAAACCGGGAGAUAGCUGGUUCUCCCCGAAAGCUAUUUAGGUAGCGCCUCGUGAAUUCAUCUCCGGGGGUAGAGCACUGUUUCGGCAAGGGGGUCAUCCCGACUUACCAACCCGAUGCAAACUGCGAAUACCGGAGAAUGUUAUCACGGGAGACACACGGCGGGUGCUAACGUCCGUCGUGAAGAGGGAAACAACCCAGACCGCCAGCUAAGGUCCCAAAGUCAUGGUUAAGUGGGAAACGAUGUGGGAAGGCCCAGACAGCCAGGAUGUUGGCUUAGAAGCAGCCAUCAUUUAAAGAAAGCGUAAUAGCUCACUGGUCGAGUCGGCCUGCGCGGAAGAUGUAACGGGGCUAAACCAUGCACCGAAGCUGCGGCAGCGACACUAUGUGUUGUUGGGUA